UCUAUCCUGCGAUGUGCGUGAUGUCAUAUCGCGUUUGGGCCAACACCCACAAAACGGGAGGCUCAUUUCACUGGCGAGCGUGAUAGGCCUGCGCGGCUAAGACGCGACCCGGGGAAGGUUUCCCACCUGCACUUGCAGGUUCAAACAGAGUGGCACACGGCAUUGCGGGUAUUGA
RNAcentral lists this non-coding RNA (175 nucleotides) under Chloroflexota bacterium. RNAcentral describes it as "Chloroflexi bacterium (bioreactor metagenome) 6S RNA". It matches the Rfam family "6S / SsrS RNA". From Rfam's summary of the family: E. coli 6S RNA was the first non coding RNA to be sequenced, but its function was unknown until recently. It consists of 184 nucleotides that fold into an extended hairpin structure with a large single-stranded internal bulge. Lineage: Bacteria; Bacillati; Chloroflexota. The record is from RNAcentral.